RNAcentral lists this ribosomal RNA (495 nucleotides) under uncultured bacterium. RNAcentral describes it as "partial 16S ribosomal RNA". It matches the Rfam family "Bacterial small subunit ribosomal RNA", at positions 28 to 507 of the family's 1533-position model. The record is from RNAcentral.
GACGAACGCUGGCGGCGUGCCUAAUACAUGCAAGUAGAACGCUGAAGGAGGAGCUUGCUUCUCUGGAUGAGUUGCGAACGGGUGAGUAACGCGUAGGUAACCUGCCUGGUAGCGGGGGAUAACUAUUGGAAACGAUAGCUAAUACCGCAUAAGAGUAGAUGUUGCAUGACAUUUGCUUAAAAGGUGCAAUUGCAUCACUACCAGAUGGACCUGCGUUGUAUUAGCUAGUUGGUGGGGUAACGGCUCACCAAGGCGACGAUACAUAGCCGACCUGAGAGGGUGAUCGGCCACACUGGGACUGAGACACGGCCCAGACUCCUACGGGAGGCAGCAGUAGGGAAUCUUCGGCAAUGGACGGAAGUCUGACCGAGCAACGCCGCGGGAGUGAAGAAGGGUGUCGGAUCGUAAAGCUCUGUUGUAAGAGAAGAACGAGUGUGAGAGUGGAAAGUUCACACUGUGACGGUAUCUUACCAGAAAGGGACGGCUAACUACGUG